This 87-nucleotide transfer RNA is filed under the name Candidatus Kaiserbacteria bacterium CG10_big_fil_rev_8_21_14_0_10_56_12. RNAcentral describes it as "tRNA-Ser". It matches the Rfam family "tRNA". From Rfam's summary of the family: Transfer RNA (tRNA) molecules are approximately 80 nucleotides in length. Their secondary structure includes four short double-helical elements and three loops (D, anti-codon, and T loops). Further hydrogen bonds mediate the characteristic L-shaped molecular structure. tRNAs have two regions of fundamental functional importance: the anti-codon, which is responsible for specific mRNA codon recognition, and the 3' end, to which the tRNAs corresponding amino acid is attached (by aminoacyl-tRNA synthetases). tRNAs cope with the degeneracy of the genetic code in two manners: having more than one tRNA (with a specific anti-codon) for a particular amino acid; and 'wobble' base-pairing, i.e. permitting non-standard base-pairing at the 3rd anti-codon position. The record is from RNAcentral. Lineage: Bacteria; Candidatus Kaiseribacteriota.
GGAGGGGUGACAGAGCGGCUUAACGUACCACCUUGGAAAGGUGGCGUAGGGGCAACCCUACCGGGAGUUCGAAUCUCCCCCCCUCCG